AUUGAACGCUGGCGGCAGGCCUAACACAUGCAAGUCGAGCGGAUGAAGGGAGCUUGCUCCUGGAUUCAGCGGCGGACGGGUGAGUAAUGCCUAGGAAUCUGCCUGGUAGUGGGGGAUAACGUCCGGAAACGGGCGCUAAUACCGCAUACGUCCUGAGGGAGAAAGUGAGGGAUCUUCGGACCUCACGCUAUCAGAUGAGCCUAGGUCGUAUUAGCUAGUUGGUGGGGUAAAGGCCUACCAAGGCGACGAUCCGUAACUGGUCUGAGAGGAUGAUCAGUCACACUGGAACUGAGACACGGUCCAGACUCCUACGGGAGGCAGCAGUGGGGAAUAUUGGACAAUGGGCGAAAGCCUGAUCCAGCCAUGCCGCGUGUGUGAAGAAGGUCUUCGGAUUGUAAAGCACUUUAAGUUGGGAGGAAGGGCAGUAAGUUAAUACCUUGCUGUUUUGACGUUACCAACAGAAUAAGCACCGGCUAACUUCGUG
Molecule: ribosomal RNA, 484 nt
Filed under: uncultured bacterium
Lineage: Bacteria
Description: partial 16S ribosomal RNA
Rfam family: Bacterial small subunit ribosomal RNA
Source: RNAcentral